GAUGAACGCUGGCGGCGUGUCUAAGGCAUGCAAGUCGAACGGACUGUUAUUUGUAGCAAUACUUAGAACAGUUAGUGGCAAACGGGUGCGUAACACAUUGGUAACCUGCCUCAAAGUCGGGCAUAAUCCCGCGAAAGUGGGACUAAUUCCACGAUAGUCAUCGAAGGUGAGAUUCCUUCGAUGUAAAGUCGCAAGACGCUUUGAGAGGGGCCUAUGGCCUAUCAGCUUGUUGGUGAGGUAACGGCUCACCAAGGCUAUGACGGGUAGGGGUGUGAGAGCACGACCCCCCUCCACUGGGACGUGAGACACCUGCCCACGACGACCUACGGGUGGGCUGCGAGUCGAGAAUAUU
RNAcentral lists this ribosomal RNA (352 nucleotides) under uncultured bacterium. RNAcentral describes it as "bacterial SSU rRNA". It matches the Rfam family "Bacterial small subunit ribosomal RNA", at positions 28 to 365 of the family's 1533-position model. The record is from RNAcentral.